Molecule: long non-coding RNA, 1943 nt
Organism: Pygocentrus nattereri (red-bellied piranha)
Lineage: Eukaryota; Metazoa; Chordata; Actinopteri; Characiformes; Serrasalmidae
Source: Ensembl
AAAAAUAAUCCUAGAACUUACAGGCUUGGAAUUCUGAGAUGGACUUUCGAUGUCUGGGUCCUUCAAGAACACAUUUGUAACGACCUGCUCCGGUUUGGGAACGAUGUUCUGGGCCGGGAAUUUGCGAUCACGUGUUUGGAAGAAAUAAUAAAUAAGCUUGUGUCCAAAAAAGGGAAACAAAUACUGAACAUCUUGUUUGACAGCUGUAAUAAAAAUAAGGACAGCAAUGAACGGCCGUGUGUGCCUGUCCAGUCUGGGCUGGCUGAAGGGGCAGCAGGGGCAUCUGUACCGUGUGCAGUACCUCACCUAACCAGUGCGGUCAGCCCUCUGGCUGGGUUGGAGCCUCCUCUCUUCCCUGCAGCCCCUGGCCUGGAGAGAGCCCAAGGUGACAAAAGAGAGGAGAAUUUACUGCUAGAGGUCCUGAGCCACUGCAGGCGCGAGUUGCGAGCAGGUCAGCUCUCCUGGUCCCUCGCACAGCGUCUGGGUCCCUCACCUCAGACCAGGCACCCCAGGAAGCGGCACCCAGCUCAGCCGAUCCCUGGAGCUGCAGUCCCUCCUGAACCUGACACCUACAGCAGCAGGACCACCAGAACCCACGGCGGCGGUCGAGGGAACAGCAGGGGCUGCUGGGGAGCAAGGGUUAAAAGGGGAUCUCGGCCAGAGCAGCCCGACUCAGAUCUCCAGCCUAAAAAGGGGAGUUUCGCAAUAAAGGAGGAGCCAAAAGCUGCAAAGGUCCCGAAGAAAGUUCCUCGGCUGGACAGGAGGCUGAAAACGCGCUCAGCCAGCGAGCUCAAGGAUGCAGUGGACACGCCUCCUGAUGAAGAGGGCAAACAAGUGAUGAUUGGCAGCGCGACGCGGAAGGUCUGGAUCCCCACGUCCGUGUACAUGGAGGCGUUUAAGGAGGCGGAGCCUCAGAAAGCCGUGGUGCCGGUGCUCCGUGCCCUCUUUCCCAUCAGCACCCUGUCCUGCAGGGACCCCCUCUGGGGUGUCCAGCAGCUCGACCCCAACAAACUGGAGGCCCUGCGAGAGUGGCUGGCUGAGAUGUACCCCCAGCAUGACCUGACUGAGGGGGGCUCGGCGUGGGCUCAGUGUCUGGGAGCUCUCGACAGAAUCGCUAAAGAUCUCCGCCAGAAGGAGGGGACGUCCCCACGUGUGGACGCGGAGUGACCUUCACGCCGACCGCAGCCGCAAUCCUACAUCAAGCACUACAGCAUCUCCUCAGAGGAGAGCCAUGGGCCAGUUCUGCAGGCACUGUAAACCCAAACCACGAGUACAUUUAAAUACCAAGAGGAGGCAGAUAUUCACACUGUCCACACACGAUGGCCCCCUGAACGGACUGGUGGGUAUGUGCAUGCGGUUCCUUCAGAGUCUGCGGUUCUAGACGGCCCUCCCAGCCAAAACGUGUGUAACUCAGUUUAACGUGAACUCGGCUUCCUGCUGCUCUACCUCCGAUUCAGUCGGCCGCAUCUACGACAGUAAAGAGGGUCCUGCUCUUGAUUGUGAGCCGUCAUGGGUGGGUUUUUGUUCUGUUGCCUUCGUUUGUUUUUCUUUCUGUUUUUCAGAUCCUAAAGGUGCUUAAUCUUCAGACUGUAUGAAUUCAAGAAAAACUGAGGCGCUUUCCUUUUUACAUAUUUUUAAUUCAGAAUCAAAAGUGUACUCACGGAAUGUGCUAGUGUUUCUAUUUGCAAAUAAAGGAAAAAUAAAUGCUUUUGCUCAGUUCUGUAUCUAUUUCUUUAAGCAUUAAAUGAAAUUGAAAUGCAUAGGAAAGUUGGUCUAGACAGUGAACAUGACCUCGGUCUUUCUGCAGCAGCGUCGCAGCUCGUUAUACGGAAAUGAUCCUCGAGGCCGUGAAGCGGUUUCACCUUCCCUGCACUCGAAAGUGAGGCGUCACUCUCGAACCAAGCUACUGGUCGGUGAAGGUUCUGGAGCACUUGCUUGCAUCU